Molecule: ribosomal RNA, 449 nt
Filed under: Scaphiophryne obscura
Lineage: Eukaryota; Metazoa; Chordata; Amphibia; Anura; Microhylidae
Description: partial small subunit ribosomal RNA
Rfam family: Bacterial small subunit ribosomal RNA
Source: RNAcentral
CGAGCCCAAGCUUAAAACCCAAAGGACUUGACGGUGUCCCACCCACCUAGAGGAGCCUGUUCUAUAAUCGAUUAUCCCCGAUAAACCUCACCACUUCUAGCCAAUCAGCCUGUAUACCUCCGUCGUAAGCUUACCAUAUGAACGCUAAUUAGUGAGCUUAAAGAUCCUCCAUCAACACGUCAGGUCAAGGUGCAGCUCACGAAGUGGGAAGCAAUGGGCUACAAUUUCUAACUUAGAACACACGAAAGACUACAUGAAACACAGUCAUGAAGGCGGAUUUAGCAGUAAAGAGAAAAUAGAGAGUUCUCUUUAAUUAGGCGCUGGGACGCGUACACACCGCCCGUCACCCUCUUCAAACGCCCACAAACGUUUUCUAACACCUAACCGCACAAUAGAAGAGGUAAGUCGUAACACGGUAAGCGUACUGGAAAGUGCGCUUGGACUAACAA